GACGAACGCUGGCGGCGUGCCUAAUACAUGCAAGUUGAGCGCUGAAGGUUGGUACUUGUACCAACUGGAUGAGCAGCGAACGGGUGAGUAACGCGUGGGGAAUCUGCCUUUGAGCGGGGGACAACAUUUGGAAACGAAUGCUAAUACCGCAUAAAAACUUUAAACACAAGUUUUAAGUUUGAAAGAUGCAAUUGCAUCACUCAAAGAUGAUCCCGCGUUGUAUUAGCUAGUUGGUGAGGUAAAGGCUCACCAAGGCGAUGAUACAUAGCCGACCUGAGAGGGUGAUUGGCCACAUUGGGACUGAGACACGGCCCAAACUCCUACGGGAGGCAGCAGUAGGGAAUCUUCGGCAAUGGACGAAAGUCUGACCGAGCAACGCCGCGUGAGUGAAGAAGGUUUUCGGAUCGUAAAACCCUGUUGGUAGAGAAGAACGUUGGUGAGAGUGGAAAGCUCAUCAAGUGACGGUAACUACCCAGAAAGGGACGGCUAACUACGUGC
Molecule: ribosomal RNA, 498 nt
Filed under: uncultured bacterium
Lineage: Bacteria
Description: partial 16S ribosomal RNA
Rfam family: Bacterial small subunit ribosomal RNA
Source: RNAcentral